GACAGAGGUGCCGAGCGUUAGGCGGAAUCACUGGGCUUAAAGCGUGUGUAGGCGGACUUCUAAGUACCUUGUGAAAUCCCACGGCUCAACCGUGGAACUGCUUGGUAUACUGGUUGUCUUGAGCCACUUAGGGGCAGUCGGAACAGACGGUGGAGCGGUGAAAUGCGUAGAUAUCGUAAGGAAGACCAGUGGCGAAGGCGGGUCUCUGGACAGUUCCUGACGCUGAGGCACGAAGGCCAGGGGAGCAAACGGG
This 253-nucleotide ribosomal RNA is filed under the name uncultured bacterium. Its description in RNAcentral is "partial 16S ribosomal RNA". It matches the Rfam family "Bacterial small subunit ribosomal RNA", at positions 524 to 776 of the family's 1533-position model. The record is from RNAcentral.